Molecule: ribosomal RNA, 876 nt
Filed under: uncultured euryarchaeote
Lineage: Archaea; Methanobacteriati; Methanobacteriota
Description: bacterial SSU rRNA
Rfam family: Archaeal small subunit ribosomal RNA
Source: RNAcentral
GGCGACCGCUAUUGGAGUUCGAUUAAGCCAUGCGAGUAGAAAGAAAUUAGAUUCUUUGCAUACUGCUCAGUAACACGUGGAUAACCUGCCCUACACUGGGGGAUAAUCUCGGGAAACUGAGGAUAAUACCCCAUAGACCACUACGCCUGGAACGGUGAGUGGUUGAAAGCUCCGGCGGUGUAGGAUGGGUCUGCGGCGUAUCAGGUCGUAGGGGGUGUAAUGGACCUCCUAGCCAUCGACGCGUACGGGUUGUGGGAGCAAUAGCCCGGAGACGGAUUCUGAGACACGAAUCCGGACCCUACGGGGUGCAGCAGGCGCGAAAACUUCACACUGCAGGAAACUGUGAUGAGGGAACUCCAAGUGACUGCACAAUGUGUAGCCUUUUCUUGAAUCUUAAUAGUUCUUGGAAUAAGGGCUGGGAAAGACCGGUGCCAGCCGCCGCGGUAAUACCGGCAGCUCAAGUGGUCGUCGCUUUUAUUGGGCCUAAAACGUCCGUAGCCUGUUUGGUAAAUCUGUGGGUAAAUCAACGAGCUUAACUCGUUGAAUUCUGCAGAGACUGCCAGACUAGGGACCGGGAGAGGUAUGAGGUACUCUGGGGGUAGGGGUAAAAUCCUGUCAUCCUCAGAGGACCACCUGUUGCGAAGGCGUCAUACUGGAACGGAUCCGACGGUCAGGGACGAAGCCUAGGGGCACGAACCGGAUUAGAUACCCGGGUAGUCCUAGGUGUAAACGCUGUGGAUUUGGUGUGUGGGGUCCGCAAUGGGCCCCAUGUGCCGGAGUGAAGAUGUUAAAUCCACUGCCUGGGGAGUACGGUCGCAAGGCUGAAACUUAAAGGAAUUGGCGGGGGAGCACUGCAACGGGAGGAGCGUGCGGUUU